RNAcentral lists this long non-coding RNA (516 nucleotides) under Gallus gallus (chicken). The record is from RNAcentral. Lineage: Eukaryota; Metazoa; Chordata; Aves; Galliformes; Phasianidae.
UAACACUGGGUGCUCAACCGCUGGUUCAUGUCUUAAUGUGGAAGUUCUGCUGUAAGUACUCUAAAUGCUCUUUGUUGCCUUCUGCUAUUUGGUUUAGAGUCUUUAAGAUGCAGACUAAUUAACCAUGUGCUACAAGCAUUUCAAUAUGGCUACUGUUUCAAGAACUUCAAAACCCUAAGCUGGAAUUUAAGAUACUGCUGCUAAUUUUACAGUCCUGCUUGUGUAUUUGUAACAUUGACAAAGAUGUAGUGAACUUGAGAGUAGAGACAAGAUUAAGGAAGAUCCUCUGGCAAUGGAAACUCUUUCUCAUGAAGGGAGAAAGAGAAAUGGGCCACAGGAUGCUUGUUUCAAUUUUACCAGUUUGACAUCGUGAGUACCUGUAGUCCAAUAGAUCUUUCUCAGUGUGCUUGACCUUGGAAAGGCAUGAGGAAGUAUAACUGCUUCUAUGGAGGCAGAUUUGAUGUCCAGUCAACUACUUCCAUGAAAAAAAUGACUGAAUUAAUGCCCUACCUCUUC